CCGGCCUCAGCAGCUCAUCAGCUCUGGGUCUCCGGGCACUCGAGGAUGCUCUCGAGGCACGGCCGCCAGCCGCCGUCGCCGACUCCCUUGGCGUGGUUGGCGGCCUGCAUGUGGUGGAUCGCGUCCUCGAGGCGCCGCUCGCCGCCCUUGAGCUGCGCCACGAGCCACUCGAGCUCGCCGCGCGUCAGCACGACCUUCACCUUGAGGCCCUCCGCCGGAGCUACGGCCACCAUCUCCUCCUCCUCCUCCCGCAGCAGCUGGCUUAUCCUUCUCAUCUCCGAGAGGCUCUCCUCCUCUUCCGGCAGAAGCAUGCCGCGGUGACCCCGCUUGGCGGCCGUGUUCAGGCAGUUGCCCAUGGCUGGAUGGCGCGCGCGGCCUUCGGUUGGUGGUGUGUAGGAAGGAAGGAAGCUGAGUGAGCA
Molecule: unclassified non-coding RNA, 419 nt
Filed under: Zea mays
Lineage: Eukaryota; Viridiplantae; Streptophyta; Magnoliopsida; Poales; Poaceae
Description: misc RNA Zm00001eb277930
Source: RNAcentral